GGACGAACGCUGGCGGCGUGCCUAACACAUGCAAGUCGAACGGAGUCAAGAAGCUUGCUUUUGACUAGUGGCGGACGGGUGAGUAACGCGUGAGUAACCUGCCUCUGAGAGGGGAAUAACGUUCUGAAAAGAACGCUAAUACCGCAUAAUGUAUCGAAGCCGCAUGACUUUGAUACCAAAGAUUUUAUCGCUCGGAGAUGGACUCGCGUCCGAUUAGUUAGUUGGUGAGGUAACGGCUCACCAAGACCGCGAUCGGUGGCCGGACUGAGAGGUUGAUCGGCCACAUUGGGACUGAGACACGGCCCAGACUCCUACGGGAGGCAGCAGUGGGGGAUAUUGCGCAAUGGGGGCAACCCUGAACCGCAGCAACGCCGCGUGAAGGAUGAAGGUUUUCGGAUUGUAAACUUCUUUUAUCAGGGACGAAGCUUGACGGUACCUGAUGAAUAAGCUCCGGCUAACUGCGUGCCAGCCGCGGC
RNAcentral lists this ribosomal RNA (476 nucleotides) under uncultured bacterium. RNAcentral describes it as "bacterial SSU rRNA". It matches the Rfam family "Bacterial small subunit ribosomal RNA", at positions 27 to 518 of the family's 1533-position model. The record is from RNAcentral.